This 293-nucleotide unclassified non-coding RNA is filed under the name Hevea brasiliensis (rubber tree). The record is from RNAcentral. Lineage: Eukaryota; Viridiplantae; Streptophyta; Magnoliopsida; Malpighiales; Euphorbiaceae.
AUGAAAUACUGAAGCAGCUUCUUGUUUAGGAAGGAUUCCAGCAGUAUCGACUGGUGAUGAAAAUGGGGGCUGUAAAGAUGCAGCUUCAAUUCCAGGAGCAUAAUUUUCUAAGACAUUCUCCCAAGAGGGUAGGUUGAAAUGUUUCAGUGGCUGAUAUGUUAACCCAGCACCCUUAGUGUCUUCAGCUUUAUCAGCAUGGGCCAGUGAGAAGAAGUCCCUCCCAGGAACAGCUGACAGCUUCCCUUGAUAACUACUUGAAAAUGAAACGGGAUCAUGAUGACCAAGCAGGCCAG